AUGGAUCCACCGAUAUCGAAGCCAGUUCCAGCUCGCCACAUCGUUCACAUCGCACACACGAUGCCAUCGUCACCGCCGUCGCCGCCGCCGGCGGCGGCACCACGAAGCCGUCGAUCCAAGAAAAAGACACGGACGUACCACGUGUCUGUGUUCUGGUUCACGCCGGUCCCGCUGCCAGAGAGGGACUGGGCGGAGCUGCACCCUGACCUGAUCUCCUGCAUCUUCCACAAGCUGGACCAGGCCGAGCUCCUGCUCGGCGGCGUGGCGGGCGUGUGCCGCUCCUGGCGGCGGGCCGCCCGGGAAGAGCCGGAGUUGUGGCGCUGCAUCGACCUGCGCGGCGGCCUGUGGUUCGUACCGCCGUUCCACCCCAAGUUCAGCCUCGAGGCCAUGGUGCGGGCCGCCCUGCGGCUUAGCCAGGGCCAGUGCGAGGCCUUCCUGACCAACCUCGCCGACGACGAUAUCCUCCUCUUGCUCGCCAAGCAGGCACCUGCGCUAAAGUGCCUCCAUCUCCAUAGGUGCUAUGUCUCCGAUGAAGGAUUUGCGGCGGUGAUUAAGAUGUUACCUCUACUUGAGGAGCUCGAGAUUUCGAAAUGUCCGCAAAUAUAUAGUAGGGAGGUAUAUGAACUUGUCGCUACAGCAUGCCCACUGCUAAAGCACUUCAGACAUGUCUCGGGAAAGAACUGCCAUGCUGGUUAUGCGAUAACAUUUGCGGCUCCAAGGAUGCGCAAACUACGUUCCUUGGAUGUUGUCGGUUGCACCUUCGGUAGGGAAGUUCUGCUAUCUAUCCUAGACAAUUGCCAUGACCUAGAGUACCUUAACAUGUCAGUGUGCGACCCUAUUGCCAUUGAUAACCCACCAGAAAAUCUUGCCUGGAUGAGCAUGAAUGACCUUUAUUGGUACUGGAGCAACUAUUACAAUGACUAUACUGGUUGUAACUGCUGCCAUCCCUACAAGCCCAGAUGUAACUACUGUCGUACCUGGUCAUAUCUGCAUUACCAAGACGAUCCCUAUUAUGAUUACUGCUACUACCUUGGUGACGGUGAUGAUGUUGAUGAUGCCAAUCUCGAAGAAUAUGAGAAUAUCCUUGACAUCAAGAGCAUGCGUAGGUACUUAAGCUAA
RNAcentral lists this ribosomal RNA (1119 nucleotides) under Triticum aestivum (bread wheat). RNAcentral's name for it is "partial small subunit ribosomal RNA". Lineage: Eukaryota; Viridiplantae; Streptophyta; Magnoliopsida; Poales; Poaceae. The record is from RNAcentral.